Molecule: ribosomal RNA, 482 nt
Filed under: uncultured bacterium
Lineage: Bacteria
Description: partial 16S ribosomal RNA
Rfam family: Bacterial small subunit ribosomal RNA
Source: RNAcentral
GACGAACGCUGGCGGCGUGCUUAACACAUGCAAGUCGAACGAUGAAGAAGAGCUUGCUCUUCGGAUUAGUGGCGAACGGGUGAGUAACACGUGACUAACCUGCCCCUUUCUCUGGGAUAACGCUCCGAAAGGAGUGCUAAUACCGGAUACUCACAUCGAGGCACAUGCCUUGAUGGGGAAAGUUUUUCGGAAAGGGAUGGAGUCGCGGCCUAUCAGCUUGUUGGUGAGGUAACGGCUCACCAAGGCGACGACGGGUAGCCGGCCUGAGAGGGCGACCGGCCACACUGGGACUGAGACACGGCCCAGACUCCUACGGGAGGCAGCAGUGGGGAAUAUUGCACAAUGGGCGAAAGCCUGAUGCAGCGACGCCGCGUGAGGGAUGAAGGUCUUCGGAUUGUAAACCUCUUUCAGUAGGGACGAAGCGAAAGUGACGGUACCUAGAGAAGAAGCACCGGCUAACUACGUGCCAGCCGCCGCGGUAA